CGCACAUUGCGCCCUCUGGUAUUCCGGGGGGCAUGCCUGUUCGAGCGUCAUUACAACCCUCAAGCUCUGCUUGGUAUUGGGUGUCACCAGCUUGGUGCACUUUAAAAUCAGUGGCGGUGCCAUUUGGCUUCAAGCGUAGUAAUAAUUUCGCUUCUGAAGUUUAGAUGUGCUCUUGCCAGUAAUUCAUAUAUAUCAAAGGUUGACCUCGGAUCAGGUAGGGAUACCCGCUGAACUUAA
RNAcentral lists this unclassified non-coding RNA (237 nucleotides) under Helotiales sp. Its description in RNAcentral is "partial contains 5.8S ribosomal RNA, internal transcribed spacer 2, and large subunit ribosomal RNA". Lineage: Eukaryota; Fungi; Ascomycota; Leotiomycetes; Helotiales. The record is from RNAcentral.